This 64-nucleotide transfer RNA is filed under the name Anatkina vespertinula. Its description in RNAcentral is "tRNA-Leu". Lineage: Eukaryota; Metazoa; Arthropoda; Insecta; Hemiptera; Cicadellidae. The record is from RNAcentral.
AUUGAUUUGGCAGAUUAGUGCAUUAAAUUUAGAAUUUAAGAAAGUAAUAUUUAUACAUUCAAUA